Molecule: long non-coding RNA, 351 nt
Organism: Helianthus annuus (common sunflower)
Lineage: Eukaryota; Viridiplantae; Streptophyta; Magnoliopsida; Asterales; Asteraceae
Exons: 3
Source: RefSeq, a predicted model, not a curated record
GCGCCAUGCGACGGGAAGGAGGGUCACCCUCCGCGACCGCGGUGGUGCUCGAUCCGCAGAAUUUGUAUUCAGCUGCGCAGAUUGGCUGAUUUCUUGUGUUUCUUGACCCAACUUCCACCUAACCUUCAUUUAAUACACACUAACUCAAACCUUAAUCCCUCCACUAUAUAACCAACCUCUCCUACACUCAUUUUCCACUUUACAAAUCACUAAUCAUUCUCUAAUCACUCUAAUUUCCAGAAUUUGGACAGAAAGUUCAAGCAAUUCUAAAUUAUAACCAGGAAAAUCACAGGAAAAAUACCUAAAGUAGCAAUGUAACAAAAUGUGAAAGCCAAUUAGAAGUCAGCUAGA